Molecule: ribosomal RNA, 1461 nt
Filed under: uncultured Chloroflexota bacterium
Lineage: Bacteria; Bacillati; Chloroflexota
Description: bacterial SSU rRNA
Rfam family: Bacterial small subunit ribosomal RNA
Source: RNAcentral
UAGAGUUUGAUCCUGGCUCAGGAUGAACGCUGGCGGCGUGCUUAAUACGUGCAAGUCGAACGGAGAGAUUAGCAAUAGUCUUUUAGUGGCGAACGGGUGAGUAACGCGUGGGUGAUCUGCCCCGAAGAUUGGGAUAACAGUUCGAAAGGGCUGCUAAUACCGGAUGUGGUUCUGGGAGUUAGAGACCUGGAACUAAAAGCGCAAGCUGCUUCGGGAGGGACCUGCGUCCAUCAGCUGGUUGGUGAGGUAAAGGCUCACCAAGGCGACGACGGGUAGGGGGCCUGAGAGGGUGACCCCCCACACUGGCACUGAAACACGGGCCAGACACCUACGGGUGGCAGCAGUAGGGAAUAUUGCACAAUGGGCGCAAGCCUGAUGCAGCAACGCCGCGUGCGCGAUGAAGGCCUUCGGGUCGUAAAGCGCUUUUCGGGGAGAAGAGGAAGGACGGUAUCCCCGGAAUAAGGCUCGGCUAACUGCGUGCCAGCAGCCGCGGUAAAACGUAGGAGCCAAGCGUUAUCCGAAUUCACUGGGUGUAAAGCGCGAGCAGGCGGCUUGGUAAGUUGGGUGUGAAAACUCCUGGCUCAACUGGGAGAGGACGCUCAAGACUGCUGAGCUCGAGAUUGGCAGAGGGAGGUGGAAUUCCCGGUGUAGUGGUGAAAUGCGUAGAUAUCGGGAGGAACACCAGUGGCGAAAGCGGCCUCCUGGGCCAAUACUGACGCUGAGAUGCGAAAGCUAGGGGAGCGAACGGGAUUAGAAACCCCGGUAGUCCUAGCCGUAAACGAUGUCAACUGGGUGUGAGUGGGUUAGAAUCCAUUCGUGCCGAAGCCAACGCGAUAAGUUGACCACCUGGGGACUACGGCCGCAAGGUUAAAACUCAAAGGAAUUGACGGGGGCCCGCACAAGCAGCGGAGCGUGUGGUUUAAUUCGAUGUUACACGAAGAACCUUACCCGGGCUUGACAUGCAAGUGGUAGUGAAGCGAAAGUGGAACGACCCUUCGGGGAGCUUGCACAGGUGCUGCAUGGCUGUCGUCAGCUCGUGUCGUGAGAUGUCCGGUUAAGUCCGGUAACGAGCGCAACCCCUGCCAGAUGUUACAAGUGUCAUCUGGGACUGCUGGUAUCAAGCCGGAGGAAGGUGGGGAUGACGUCAAGUCAGCAUGGCCUUUAUGUCCGGGGCUACACACACGCUACAAUGGCCGGCACAAUGGGUCGCAAAGCCGCGAGGUGGAGCCAAUCCCGAAAGCCGGUCCCAGUUCAGAUUGCAGGCUGCAACCCGCCUGCAUGAAGCCGGAGUUGCUAGUAACCGCGCGUCAGCAUUAGUGCGGUGAAUACGUUCCCGGGCCUUGUACACACCGCCCGUCACGUCAUGGGAGCUGACAACACCUGAAGCCGGUAUCCUAACCGCAAGGAGGGAGCCGUCGAAGGUGGGGUUGGUGACUGGGACGAAGUCGUAACAAGGUAACC